Molecule: long non-coding RNA, 382 nt
Filed under: Monodelphis domestica (gray short-tailed opossum)
Lineage: Eukaryota; Metazoa; Chordata; Mammalia; Didelphimorphia; Didelphidae
Description: lncRNA (ENSMODG00000031781.2)
Source: RNAcentral
ACUGGGCCCAGCAACUCUGGCCUCCGAGCAGAUCUCUCAUCUCCCCAGGCCCAGGACUCACUUCCACUAGCUGUGGAUCGUGGCCAGAUAUGAAGAGGAAAUGGAUCUCAUUUUUGGACAAGAUAUACAAAAGAGCCAUUGCACAGGACCAAAGAAAUGAAUCCAUGAAGGAAUGAUGCACUUCUAAGCCAAUACAAAGGACUUUAAUCUAGUGUGAAGACUCAAGGUUGUGAUGCUUAACAUAUGUUAAGAUGUAGGCCUUCCUUAUAUCCACACUCUUUGUGAAAAUACUUACAGCUGAGUAUCCCUAACUUGGCUCCUACCUGGCUCCUAUAAUAUAGUCCCUUUUCUGUCUUUCAUAGUGUGGUAAACUUUCUGUAGU